UAGAUGCGAGAGUAGAGCAUAUCAAUAAGCGGAGGAAAAGAAACUAACAAGGAUUCCCUAGUAACGGCGAGUGAAGCGGGAAGAGCUCAAAUUUGAAAUCUUCAAGGUUUACCUUGACGAAUUGUAGUUUAUAGAAGUGUUUUCUGUUAGUAGGAGUGGCAAAAGUUCUUUGGAAUAGGACAUCAUAGAGGGUGAGAAUCCCGUAUUUGGUCAUUCCUCCUAGCGUUGUGAUACACUUUCAACGAGUCGGAUUGUUUGGGAAUGCAGUCCAAAAUGGGUGGUAAAUUUCAUCUAAAGCUAAAUAUUGGCGAGAGACCGAUAGCGAACAAGUACCGUGAGGGAAAGAUGAAAAGAACUUUGAAAAGAGAGUUAAACAGUACGUGAAAUUGUCAAAAGGGAAGCGUUUGACACCAGUGUUGUUUUUCCGAAAAUCAAUUACGAAUGUUUUGUUUUUGAGGAGUUAUGACUUCAUCGGCUUGCUUCUCUCUUUACGAAACUUUCUUAAUGCACUUUUCGGUUAACAAGUCAACAUCAAUUUCUUUUGUUGUAAAAGGGUAUGAGGAAGGUGGCUUUCUUUUCGGAGAAAGUGUUUAUAGCCUUGUACCUCUGCAAUCGGAGAGAUUGAGGUCUGCAGCGUAGAUCCUUCGGGGUUAGAUACAUUUGUGCUAAGUUAUAGCUUUUCAUAGACAACUUGUUGACUAUGUUAAGUCUUGUAGCUUACUCGCUUAUGCUAUUUUACCUACGCUUAGGAUGUUGACACACGCGCGUGCUCG
RNAcentral lists this ribosomal RNA (773 nucleotides) under uncultured Neocallimastigales. Its description in RNAcentral is "partial large subunit ribosomal RNA". It matches the Rfam family "Eukaryotic large subunit ribosomal RNA", at positions 22 to 643 of the family's 3401-position model. The record is from RNAcentral. Lineage: Eukaryota; Fungi; Neocallimastigomycota; Neocallimastigomycetes; Neocallimastigales.